This 1243-nucleotide small RNA is filed under the name Pan troglodytes (chimpanzee). RNAcentral's name for it is "processed transcript". Lineage: Eukaryota; Metazoa; Chordata; Mammalia; Primates; Hominidae. The record is from RNAcentral.
AGUCAUUAUUUGAAUGGUUUGUGCAAUUGACAUAUGCCUCAGUUUUUGUUUUUGUUUUUUAACCAAUAAGCAUGGAAAAAAAAAAACCUCCUAUGUUGGUUUCUUAUUUUUCAUAUAUAGAAAGUCAUAUGGAAUACUCCUGCUAUAUGGCUAUCUCUGAUCUUCUGCCCCAGGAUAUAUUUUUCAGGCAUUGAAGGACUGAUGCCUUGGAUGGUAUACUGUAAAUUCAGCAUAUGGAGAUACCAUUAUCAUACCUUGCCGACUUGAUGUACCUCAGAAUCUCAUGUUUGGCAAAUGGAAAUAUGAAAAGCCCGAUGGCUCCCCAGUAUUUAUUGCCUUCAGAUCCUCUACAAAGAAAAGUGUGCAGUACGACGAUGUACCAGAAUACAAAGACAGAUUGAGCCUCUCAGAAAACUACACGUUGUCUAUCAGUAAUGCAAGGAUCAGUGACGAAAAGAGAUUUGUGUGCAUGCUAGUAACUGAGGACAACGUGUUUGAGGCACCUACAAUAGUCAAGGUGUUCAAGCAACCAUCUAAACCUGAAAUUGUAAGCAAAGCACUGUUUCUCGAAACAGAGCAGCUAAAAAAGUUGGGUGACUGCAUUUCAGAAGACAGUUAUCCAGAUGGCAAUAUCACAUGGUACAGGAAUGGAAAAGUGCUACAUCCCCUUGAAGGAGCGGUGGUCAUAAUUUUUAAAAAGGAAAUGGACCCAGUGACUCAGCUCUAUACCAUGACUUCCACCCUGGAGUACAAGACAACCAAGGCUGACAUACAAAUGCCAUUCACCUGCUCGGUGACAUAUUAUGGACCAUCUGGCCAGAAAACAAUUCAUUCUGAACAGGCAGUAUUUGAUAUUUACUAUCCUACAGAGCAGGUGACAAUACAAGUGCUGCCACCAAAAAAUGCCAUCAAAGAAGGGGAUAACAUCACUCUUAAAUGCUUAGGGAAUGGCAACCCUCCCCCAGAGGAAUUUUUGUUUUACUUACCAGGACAGCCUGAAGGAAUAAGAAGCUCAAAUACUUACACACUGACAGAUGUGAGGCGCAAUGCAACAGGAGACUACAAGUGUUCCCUGAUAGACAAAAAAAGCAUGAUUGCUUCAACAGCCAUCACAGUUCACUAGUUAGCACUUUGAACAGAUUUUCUGCUUCACAGAUUUGGAUUUGUCCUUAAACCCCAGUGGAGAAGUGACCAGACAGAUUGGUGAUGCCCUACCCGUGUCAUGCACAAUAUCCGCUAGCAG